This 323-nucleotide ribosomal RNA is filed under the name Acinetobacter baumannii. RNAcentral describes it as "partial 23S ribosomal RNA". It matches the Rfam family "Bacterial large subunit ribosomal RNA", at positions 1 to 358 of the family's 2925-position model. The record is from RNAcentral. Lineage: Bacteria; Pseudomonadati; Pseudomonadota; Gammaproteobacteria; Moraxellales; Moraxellaceae.
GUUGUAUAGUCAAGUAAUUAAGUGCAUGUGGUGGAUGCCUUGGCAGUCAGAGGCGAUGAAAGACGUGAUAGCCUGCGAAAAGCUCCGGGGAGGCGGCAAAUAUCCUUUGAUCCGGAGAUGUCUGAAUGGGGGAACCCACCUACUUUAAGGUAGGUAUUGCAACAUGAAUACAUAGUGUUGCAAGGCGAACGAGGGGAAGUGAAACAUCUCAGUACCCUUAGGAAAAGAAAUCAAUUGAGAUUCCCUCAGUAGCGGCGAGCGAACGGGGGUCAGCCCAUUAAGUUAUGUGUGUUUUAGUGGAACGCUCUGGGAAGUGCGAACGU